GACGAACGCUGGCGGCGUGCCUAAUACAUGCAAGUUGAGCGCUGAAGGUUGGUACUUGUCCCAACUGGAUGAGCAGCGAACGGGUGAGUAACGCGUGGGGAAUCUGCCUUUGAGCGGGGGACAACAUUUGGAAACGAAUGCUAAUACCGCAUAAAAACUUUAAACACAAGUUUUAAGUUUGAAAGAUGCAAUUGCAUCACUCAAAGAUGAUCCCGCGUUGUAUUAGCUAGUUGGUGAGGUAAAGGCUCACCAAGGCGAUGAUACAUAGCCGACCUGAGAGGGUGAUCGGCCCAAUUGGGACUGAGACACGGCCCCAGCUCCUACGGGAGGCAGCAGUAGGGAAUCUUCGGAAAUGGACGAAAGUCUGACCGAGCAACGCCGCGUGAGUGAAGAAGGUUUUCGGAUCGUAAAACUCUGUUGGUAGAGAAGAACGUUGGUGAGAGUGGAAAGCUCAUCAAGUGACGGUAACUACACAGAAAGGGACGGCUAACUACGUG
RNAcentral lists this ribosomal RNA (497 nucleotides) under uncultured bacterium. Its description in RNAcentral is "partial 16S ribosomal RNA". It matches the Rfam family "Bacterial small subunit ribosomal RNA", at positions 28 to 507 of the family's 1533-position model. The record is from RNAcentral.